This 1098-nucleotide ribosomal RNA is filed under the name Triticum aestivum (bread wheat). Its description in RNAcentral is "partial small subunit ribosomal RNA". Lineage: Eukaryota; Viridiplantae; Streptophyta; Magnoliopsida; Poales; Poaceae. The record is from RNAcentral.
AUGAUGAUUGGACUAUUCCUGAACCACCGCCUAAACCCACUCCAAAGAAGAGGGGUUAAAUAUAUGCAAGAGGCAAAGAAAUCUAUGAAGGAAAAAGGUAUUAAAGCUGAGGAUGUUAAAAUUUUACCUCCUAUUGAAGAAAUACAUGGGCUUAAUACACCACCACUGCCUAAGGUGGUAGAGGUAAAUUCUAUUAUGAAGUUUAAUGAUAAUGAUAAUCCUCACAAUAUGCAUCCUAGCCAAUGCCUUUAUGAGUUUGAAAACUACAUUAGAAAACAAGAUCACUUCAAUGCAAAUGUUAUGAAACAGUUGAAAUAUAAUUCUGAUACGAUUGCUCGCUUGAGUGACUUGUUAUUUAGAAUAUCAAAUGAUGUUAGAGGUGUUGGAAAGCUUGCUUCUAUGGUUCAAACUCAAUUAGAACAAGUUUCUAAAUCUCAAAGAGAAUUACUUGAUGAAAUGAAUCAUAAUGUGCAUGACUUUGUUGUUAGAGUUGCAACUAGAGGAUGUAAAAUGACUCAGGAACCACUUUAUCCUGAGGGACACCCUAAAAGAAUUGAACAAGAUUCACAAAGAGCUAAUACUAGUGCACCUAGUUCUUCUAAAAAGAAGAAGAAAAAGAAAAAUGAUAGGACUUCACAUGCUCCUAGUGAACCUGAAAUAGAGAAACCUCCUGAUAAUGAUAAUGAAAUUUCUAUCUCUGAUGCUGAAACUCAAUCUGGCAAUGAACAAUCACCUACUGAUGAUGAAAAAGGUAAUGCUGAGGUUCAUGAAAACUCUCAACCAAACAAUGAAAAAGAACCAGAUAAUGAUGUUGAGAUAGAACCACAUGUUGAUCUUGAUAACCCACAAGCCAAAAAUAAAAGAUAUGACCAAAGAGACUUUGUUGCUAGGAAACACGAUAAAGAAAGAGAACCGUGGGUUCAAAAACCUAUGACUUUUCCACCCAAGUCAACUAAAAAGAAUGAUGAUGAAGAAUUUGAACGCUUUGCUGAAAUGCUGAGGCCAGUCUUUUUGCGUACUCGCUUGACUGAUAUCUUGAAAAUGCCUCCUUAUGCAAAGUAUAUGAAAGACAUCAUCACAAAUAAGAGAAAAUACUAG